CCUACGGGAGGCAGCAGGGGAUAUUGCACAAUGGGGGAAACCCUGAUGCAGCGACGCCGCGUGGGUGAAGAAGCGCCUCGGCGCGUAAAGCCCUGUCAGCAGGGAAGAAAAUGACGGUACCUGAAGAAGAAGCCCCGGCUAACUACGUGCCAGCAGCCGCGGUAAUACGUAGGGGGCAAGCGUUAUCCGGAUUUACUGGGUGUAAAGGGGGCGCAGACGGCGAUGCAAGCCAGGAGUGAAAGCCCGGGGCCCAACCCCGGGACUGCUCUUGGAACUGCGUGGCUAGAGUGCAGGAGGGGCAGGCG
Molecule: ribosomal RNA, 305 nt
Filed under: uncultured bacterium
Lineage: Bacteria
Description: bacterial SSU rRNA
Rfam family: Bacterial small subunit ribosomal RNA
Source: RNAcentral